CCCUACGGGUGGCAGCAGUCGAGAAUCAUUCACAAUGGGGGAAACCCUGAUGGUGCGACGCCGCGUGGGGGAAUGAAGGUCUUCGGAUUGUAAACCCCUGUCAUGUGGGAGCAAAUUAAAAAGAUAUUACCACAAGAGGAAGAGACGGCUAACUCUGUGCCAGCAGCCGCGGUAAUACAGAGGUCUGAAGCGUUGUUCGGAAUCACUGGGCGUAAAGCGUGCGUAGGCUGUUUCGUAAGUCGGGUGUGAAAGGCGCGGGCUCAACCCGCGGACAGCACAUGAUACUGCGAGACUUGAGUAAUGGAGGGGGAACCGGAAUUCUCGGUGUAGCAGUGAAAUGCGUAGAUAUCGAGAGGAACACUCGUGGCGAAGGCGGGUUCCUGGACAUUAACUGACGCUGAGGCACGAAGGCCAGGGGAGCGAAAGGGAUUAGAUACCCCUGUAGUC
This 447-nucleotide ribosomal RNA is filed under the name uncultured bacterium. RNAcentral describes it as "partial 16S ribosomal RNA". It matches the Rfam family "Bacterial small subunit ribosomal RNA", at positions 337 to 795 of the family's 1533-position model. The record is from RNAcentral.